This 283-nucleotide small nuclear RNA is filed under the name Jaculus jaculus (lesser Egyptian jerboa). RNAcentral describes it as "7SK RNA (ENSJJAG00000005927.1)". It matches the Rfam family "7SK RNA". From Rfam's summary of the family: 7SK was discovered as an abundant small nuclear RNA in the mid-70s but a possible function has only recently been suggested. Two independent studies have found that 7SK RNA binds the CDK9/cyclin T complex (known as elongation factor P-TEFb). P-TEFb activates transcription by phosphorylating the C-terminal domain of RNA polymerase II. Lineage: Eukaryota; Metazoa; Chordata; Mammalia; Rodentia; Dipodidae. The record is from Rfam by way of RNAcentral.
AAAUGUGAAAAUGAUUCAGCUGUGACAUCUCUCAUUCCACUCAUCACCAGGGUUGACCUGGCUGCUCUGGUUGGCUAGGCGGUUGUCCCCUUCCUCCCUCAGCACUCCAGGUGUGUCCCUCCUGCAGAUGCAUGUUCGGCUCAAGACCAUACCUUCUCUGAAUAGAGGAGGAACACGUUUUUGUAGAGGGUAUUUGCUUUCCCCCACUAAAACCUUCAAACAAGCUCCAAGAGAUAUGAAACAAGACCCGAACGUAGGAAAGGCAGGUCCACAGAGGAUAAGU